RNAcentral lists this ribosomal RNA (201 nucleotides) under uncultured bacterium. RNAcentral describes it as "partial 16S ribosomal RNA". It matches the Rfam family "Bacterial small subunit ribosomal RNA", at positions 1300 to 1500 of the family's 1533-position model. The record is from RNAcentral.
GCAGGCUGCAACCCGCCUGUAUGAAGUUGGAANCGCUAGUAAUCGCGGAUCAGCAUGCCGCGGUGAAUACGUUCCCGGGCCUUGUACACACCGCCCGUCACACCAUGAGAGUCGGGAACACCCGAAGUCCGUAGCCUAACCGCAAGGGGGGCGCGGCCGAAGGUGGGUUCGAUAAUUGGGGUGAAGUCGUAACAAGGUAAC